AUUGAACGCUGGCGGCAGGCCUAACACAUGCAAGUCGAGCGGAGCGGCAGACGGGUGAGUAAUGCCUAGGAAUCUGCCUGGUAGUGGGGGAUAACGUCCGGAAACGGGCGCUAAUACCGCAUACUAUCAGAUGAGCUGAGGUCGGAUUAGCUAGUGGGUGGGGGAAAGGCCUACCAAGGCGACGAUCCGUAACUGGUCUGAGAGGAGGAUCAGUCAACCUGGAACGGAGACACGGGCCAGACUCCUCCGGGAGGAAGCAUUGGGGAAUAUUGGACAAGGGGCGAAAGCUUGACCCAGCCAUGCGGCGGGUGUGAGGAAGGUCUUCGGAUUGUAAAGCACUUUAAGUUGGGAGGCGGUACUUACAGAAUAAGCACCGGCUAACUUCGUGCCAGCAGCCGCGGUAAUUC
This 407-nucleotide ribosomal RNA is filed under the name uncultured bacterium. RNAcentral's name for it is "partial 16S ribosomal RNA". It matches the Rfam family "Bacterial small subunit ribosomal RNA", at positions 29 to 526 of the family's 1533-position model. The record is from RNAcentral.